Equus caballus (horse) is the source of this 2099-nucleotide long non-coding RNA. Lineage: Eukaryota; Metazoa; Chordata; Mammalia; Perissodactyla; Equidae. The record is from Ensembl.
UGAUAUUUCUCAUGCUGGUUUUUCUGCCUCCUGUUGGCCAGAUGUCUUUCUUUUGUCUUAAAAACCUGAGCAGAAGAAAAGCACCAGUUAAGAAGUGGCUGACAGAGUUUGUCUACGGUCACGUCUCAUGAGACGAAACUGAUAUUACAUGAAGGGAGAGGUGAGCUGCUCCACCUGCCAGGGAUGUGGGGUCCCACUGGUAUAGGCUCUUCAGACCCACCAAACACAUCUUUUCCCAGCUCCAUGCUCAGCGACAUCACACUGGUAGCCACAGUGGGAGUAUUUACAUCACUGAAACUGACAAACACUGCAAAUGAGGUUUUUAAUUUUACUUUUUACUUGUUUAUUAUUAUUAUUAUUUGUGACCUGGUUUGCCAGCACACUAAUGGUAGAGAGAAGUCACAGACCACAGUGGAAGCAGGGAGACCAAUAAAAGUGCAGCAGAGAGGCAAGUGAUAGUGGUGACUGACCUAGGUACGGGGUAGGGGGUGGGCAUUUAAAUUGGUAGACUGAAUAAAGAAGAUGCCCUCAUCAAUAUGGGUGGGCGUUGUCCAAUCCGUUGAAGAUCUGAGUAGAACAAAAACGGUAGAGGAUGGGCUAAUUCGCUCUCUCUGCUUGAGCUGAGACAUCCAUCUUCUGUCCUUGAAAAUCAACAGUCCUGGUUCUAGGGCCUUGGGCCUCAGACUGGGGCUUAAACUACUGGGUUCCUUGGUUCUCAGGAUUUCAGGCUUGGACUAGAACCACACCACCAUCUUUCCUGGACUCCAGCUAGCAGAUGGCAGAUUGUGCAACUUCUCAGCCUCCAUAAUCAUGUGGGACAAUCCUCAUCAUAAAUCUCUUUCCAUAUUUCUGCUGGCACCUUCAUGUUGGACUGCCCAGCCUCUAGAACUGUGAGAAACAAAUUUCUGUUGUUUAUAAGCCAUCUAGUCUUUGUUAUAGCAGCCAGACAGACUGAGACAAUUGCAUUUACUAAUUAUUAUGCAAUUAACCAGAAAAAAAUUUUGUUUCAAUAGAGGGAGCUGAAAAUACUUCUAAAAGUUUUAACACCAAAUUCCUGCUUUGCUAGCUCCUGAGCAUAAGAUAAGUAAAGAAUCUGUCAUAUAUCUGAGUCAUCAUUUUUUGUAUCAGUUUUCUUAGAAAUAAGACUCUUAGUCUGACUGCUCUCUAGGACAUCCACUAGAAAUGCUUUUUUUGCCAUUUGUUGAAUUGUUUACUGGAUUUAUGAUGCUUUAUAUUAUUUAAAGCUUUCUUACAAAAAAUAAAAAGUAAAUACUAUUAAAUAAUGGCCUAAGAUAAUCACAGUUUUAGUAUAGAAAGCACCAAUAUCUAUGGGCGCACAAGAUGUUUACUGUCAUGAAUCUUGUGUUUGUAGAAGAUUUCUCCAUAACAAAUUGAAUGAUUUCAUGGAGAAAAAAUACUUGAUGGCGAUAAAACCUAUUUUUGGGAAAACUCCAAAUCUAUAAAAUCAUUUAUAUAAAAGGUGGACAGCCUUAAUACUUUACUAGAAAGGAUAAAUGGCUAAGAUUUAGUGAUCCAAGAAUCAAUUCUAAAUCAAGAAGUUAAAUCAAAUUCCAAAUAAUGUGGCCAAUAUAGGCCCAGUGCAGCUUUCUCCAUUACAUCAGAGUCAAAAAUUCCAGACUUUCAGUAGGCAGAGCAGGGUUUGACGCUUUGGGCAUAUUACUUAGUUUUACUAAUGCUUCACUUUUCUUGACCAACAUGAGGCCAUGUGUGUGAGAAAACCUUUGGAAAAUCCAAUGUUGUAUGCAGGUGGUGGUGAGGGUGCUCAUUACCAUUUGUCACAAAGCAAUCUUUUCUUCAUCUAGAGGAAGAUGAACUCCAUAAAGUAUUGAGUGUUCCUAGAAUGCGAUCCUGCAAGGCAGCAAGAAAACAGAUGUAUGAAGUGUUCUGCAAAUUUUAGGGAAGAGUCUAAGGGAAGCACUCACUCUGCCAUGAUGCUGAUGUGACUCUGUCAACUGUCUGGGUUUUUCUGAUGGAUCAGUACAAAGCGUGCAGCUACAAUACUUCUUGAGAUGCACGGCACGUUCCGCAUGAAAGAGAAGGAUUUUCUAUUCCACAGCUUUUGAAAAUGCGACCAUUCC